Molecule: long non-coding RNA, 3234 nt
Organism: Vigna radiata var. radiata (mung bean)
Lineage: Eukaryota; Viridiplantae; Streptophyta; Magnoliopsida; Fabales; Fabaceae
Exons: 4
Source: RefSeq, a predicted model, not a curated record
GUCCUAUCGAAAUUCUUUUCAAGUUCGCAGCAACCCUAAUUUCUAAGACUUUGCACCCUCUCUUCUUCGUUCUUUUGAACGUUCAUCACUAUCUUCAACCAUGCGGUUCUUCACAUCGCCGGUCUCUAAUUCUUCUCUUUCGUCGUUCAUCAUUUCUGGUGACCAAUCCAUCACUUCUCAAGUUCUUCUUCAGGUUUUUCUCUCGCCUCUACGUUAAAUGAGGAAACCUAAACAUUUUGAUUUUCCCUGUCUCUUUCCUGAUUCGAAUAUUGGACUACAGCAGACACUAUUUGCGCCCAAGCUCACUUUUCCUUCCUUUCCUUCUUCCUCUUCUCUAUUGCGUUAAUUUCUACGGCUCCUUCGACUCCAAUUUCAUGGCGUUGCACUCCUCUUAUUGCGAUGUCUAGUUUCGCCGUGAGAGCUGAUUCCAACCUCGAAGACAAUGGUGAAAUCACCGAAGAUGUUCCUUCCGAUAAUGUUGACGACGUUUCGAAAGGCGAAACAGAACAACUUUCGGAUUCUGAAAAUUUCCCCAAAAAGCCAGAGUCAAGCUUGGAGUCGUUUUGGGGGAAGGGUUAGAUGAUAUCGUAAGGUAUGGCACAGAGGAGUUAUUUGCUAUGAAAAUGAUGAAGCAAGCAAGUCUAGCCAGAUUCAUUAUGAUGAUGAUGCUAUAGACAGGUAAUAAAAAGCUUUGAUUCGUGGUGUAUAUUAUGGUUAAAUUUCUAAGAAUUAGUUUCAUUUUCCUCUUUAUAAUAAAUUGCUGGAUCGUGUUGGUUUGGAUGGUGAAGAUGAAGAUGGAUUUCUGAAGGCUUUUAAGGUUUACUCUAUCAUAUAAUUUUGCAUAUGCUUUUGUGCUCCCACUCUUUGUUCCAUCUCAACUGUUGCACUUUCAAAAACUUUCAAUGACAAACUUGGAUACGUAUAUCUCAUUUAAAAGAAAUUGGUAGCAGUCUAUGCCUUUAUAAGUUUGCAUAAAUUUGUAGUUAGCUAUGCUUUUGUGAUCUUUCAAUUAAAAUCCUUUUGAUAGAAAUAGGCUCAAGAAUUUCUAUAUUCCAUAAAUAACUUCCACUUGCGGAAAAUAAGUGCUUAUGAAACCUGAUACUAAACAAUAAAUAUCAUCUAUGUUUAUUUUUAUUGAUGCUAAUAACUGGUCUAAUUAAAAAACACAACAAUCUCAUACAUAAGUCAUAACUGUCUUUUGUUGGAGGAGCAUUCAACCUCUGUUACUUUCCACGUUCUCUUCAUCUAUAAAUAAUAGCUCAGAAUCUCCUUGUCCCCAUUCUUUCAGAUUCUUUGCUUUAUUGAAUUAACAUAUUCUAUGCUAAAGGUGGCAAAUUUCGAAUACAUAGACGAAGUUAAGCCAGCAGAGGAGGUGCCACAAAAAGAAUCAGAGGUGAAUCAAUCCUCUGCUGCCAAUUUGAAGAAAUUAGCUUACUGGGAUGGCUUGUUGAAAAGAGGAUAUGAACAGUGUAGAAUAGAAGAAUUAGAUGCCUUAGGCAAAGGGAAGCGAACCCGCACCAAAUGGCUGGAAAGUCAUGCACGAGUUUUUGCUGCUAACGAGUAUUAAUUGGAGCGAAGACCAGUUUUUGCUGCUAACAAGUAUUCAAUUGUUCUAAUGCUGGUUUCGAUUCUAAGGACUACACGCCUAAAAUGAGAAUAGAUAUUUAUUGGUUAUCCAAUAACAACUUAGAAAUGGGUAAAAGAUAGGUCCAACAACUCUUUUAGCAUAGACUCUGAGACAAUUUCAGAAAGUAGACUUUUAAGCUUAAGUUAACCUCAACAAACCAGAAUGAAAUAUGGAGUUUAUAUUCAUUUAUAUAAAAUAAUUUGGUCAUAUCUCUCACAAUGGAAUUUUUACCAUUACAAAUGUGUUCAUUUUUGUUUCUUAUUUUAGUUGUGUAUUUAAGGUUGUAUCUUGUUGAUGAUUUUCCCAAUUCCCCUAUGAUUUCUCUCUAGGGGGAAGGUUGUAGUAACUGGGGAGAUCUAAGCUCCGAUGAUGAAAAUUAUGAAGCGGAUCAUAGUGAAGAUGAUUCAAAUUCAUUCGAGACUCCUACUCCUAAUAGAAGGGGAAAGAAAAUUCGUGCAGGGAUCCCAGAGCCACUUCCUUUAAUGGAAGGUCAAGGAAAAUCGUUGAAAGUACUUGGCUUUAGUCAAAAUCAAAGGGCUGAUUUUCUUUAAAUUUUAAUGAGGUUUGGGGUUGGUGAUUAUGAUUGGAAACAGUUUGCUCCCAGGAUGAAACACAAGAGUUAUGAAGAAAUCACGGAGUAUUAAUCUGACAUUUUCCAUUUACUUUUUGCAUUAUUUAAUGCUUUGCUUGUUUUUAAUGUUAUUGAUCUUGAAGCUUUUAUUGUAUCCGUUUUUUCUUUGUGGGGGGAAUUAUAUGACAAUCGAACCCAUAUGAAUACUAAAAUUCUGGCAUUUAAUGAUAAGAAUAUUGUGUAUAUGUAUACUCAGGUAACAAAAUAACCGUAACAUGAUAGUAUUGCUUACUAGUUGAUUGCGUAAGUUUUAUUUUUUUUUAUAAUCUUAUUACUUUUCACAUAUUUGAACAUUAUUUGAUAAUCUAUUUAUUGUCUUUAUAUAUUCUUCAUUACUUGUCUAUAAAUACUCAUACCUUUUGAACAGGUAUGGCAAACUUCUUGUCUCAUAUUGCAGAAGAUAUUAUUGAUUCACCAACAUUCACAUGUACUAGAUUCUUAUUCCUCUGAUAUUUUGUCAGUUUCUUUCGUAUUCUCCCGUGUGCUUUCAGUUUACUUAUUUUACCUCUUUGCUCGUUAGAUUUCAUGGGAAAAUUAAGAGUUUUGUGAAAUCUUUGAUAUUUGAUAUAUGUUAAGUUCUUACAAAGUUGUUUUGCCACUUCUGACUAUGAUAUACUUGUAAGGAUUGCACUUCUGACUAUGAUAUCAGAUAAAGUAAGUUCUUUCUUUAUUUUUUUUCGGAUUCUAAGCUUUUUAUUGCUUGUAUUUAACAUAGUCCAAAUGAGAAACAAUCCAAACCAUGGAAUUGAAUGCUCUUAUGCUAAUGAAGUUAAUCUCCUUUCUGUUCUUGAUGCUUUUGUUUGUAUUUUCAGGCAUAUAGGUUCAGGAAUUACUAGAAAGAUAUUGAUCAAAUACCUACGUGCCUUUAAUUGCUUUAAAAUUCUAUAAUAUUUAAAUGUUAGUAAAUUGUAGAAACUUGACUACAAUGUAGUGUAGGUUAAUAUUAUAUUUGGAUUAAAUUAUGUAUUAAAUAUUA